AACGCGAAGAACCUUACCUACACUUGACAUCCUAGGACAACUCCAGAGAUGGAGCCUUCCUUCGGGACCUAGUGACAGGUGCUGCAUGGCUGUCGUCAGCUCGUGUCGUGAGAUGUUCGGUUAAGUCCGGCAACGAGCGCAACCCACAUCCUUAGUUGCCAGCGGUUCGGCUGGGAACUCUAAGGAAACUGCCCGUGAUAAGCGGGAGGAAGGUGUGGAUGACGUCAAGUCCUCAUGGCCCUUACGGGUUGGGCUACACACGUGCUACAAUGGCAGUGACAAUGGGUUAAUCCCCAAAAACUGUCUCAGUUCGGAUUGGGGUCUGCAACUCGACGGCAUGAAGUCGGAAUCGCUAGUAAUCGCGUAACAGCAUGACGCGGUGAAUACGUUCCCGGGUCUUGUACACACCG
Molecule: ribosomal RNA, 410 nt
Filed under: uncultured bacterium
Lineage: Bacteria
Description: bacterial SSU rRNA
Rfam family: Bacterial small subunit ribosomal RNA
Source: RNAcentral